GAUGAACGCUAGCGGCAGGCCUAACACAUGCAAGUCGAGGGGUAACUAGAGUGAUAGCAAUAUUACUUUGGCUAGACCGGCGCACGGGUGCGUAACACGUAUGCAACCUACCUUAUACUGGGGAAUAACUUCGAGAAAUCGGCGCUAAUACCCCAUAACAUUGCGAAGAGGCAUCUCUUUGCAAUUAAAGCUCCGGCGGUAUAAGAUGGGCAUGCGUCCAAUUAGCUAGUUGGUGAGGUAACGGCUCACCAAGGCUACGAUUGGUAGGGGUUCUGAGAGGAUGAUCCCCCACACUGGUACAGAGACACGGACCAGACUCCUACGGGAGGCAGCAGUGAGGAAUAUUGCGCAAUGGACGAAAGUCUGACGCAGCCACGCCGCGUGCAGGAUGACGGCCCUAUGGGUUGUAAACUGCUUUUGUACGGGAAUAAACCCUUCUACGUGUAGGAGGCUGAAGGUACCGUAAGAAUAAGCACCGGCUAACUCCGUGCCAGCCGCCGCAGUAA
Molecule: ribosomal RNA, 506 nt
Filed under: uncultured bacterium
Lineage: Bacteria
Description: partial 16S ribosomal RNA
Rfam family: Bacterial small subunit ribosomal RNA
Source: RNAcentral